RNAcentral lists this ribosomal RNA (253 nucleotides) under uncultured microorganism. RNAcentral describes it as "partial 16S ribosomal RNA". It matches the Rfam family "Bacterial small subunit ribosomal RNA", at positions 524 to 776 of the family's 1533-position model. The record is from RNAcentral.
UACGGAGGGUGCAAGCGUUAAUCGGAAUUACUGGGCGUAAAGCGUACGUAGGCGGUGCGGUAAGUCAGGGGUUAAAGGCUGCAGCUCAACUGCAGUAAGGCCUUUGAUACUAUCGUGCUAGAGUGUCAGAGAGGAUGGCGGAAUUCCCGGUGUAGCGGUGAAAUGCGUAGAUAUCGGGAGGAAGGCCUGUGGCGAAGGCGGCCCUCUGGGCCUGCACUGACACUGAGGCGCGAAAGCGUGGGGAGCAAACAGG